UCGAUAGUGUGAUGAUAUCUCCGGCUCUUCCAACUCGAACUAAAGGAUAAACCUAUAAGAAAUGGAAAAGAGAACACGGAGUAAGCUUCAAUGCUUAGUAAGUUUUAAGCAAUGCAAACAAUUAAUUUACUUAUAGAUCAAUUAUUUCAAAUUUUCAAGAAAUCAUUCCUAGGUAAUUGCCAUUUUGGCCAAGUAUCCAUGAACAUAAUGUAUAUUUAGCAAAUUCAUCUCACUUGAAUCUGAACUCAAUUAAAACCAAAUAUUCAAUUCAGAAAUAAGAUCAUAAGAACUCGAAAAGCAUCUCAUUAACUAGUUUUAACCAUGUUUGCAACAAAAUCACAAAUUCACUACAAGCUGUCUUCCUGAGCAACAGUCACUAAAUUAUUUAUAACUGGAGCUAAGAAACUCCAAAUCAAGUGCCGUUAAUUUUCCCUGAAAAUAGACUCACAUAUCUUCCAUCCAUCAACUUUUAUAAUUUUUGGUUUGACCAAUCAAUACCAGAUUUUAAUUGAAGUUUCCCCUGUUUCACUAUUUGACUAUUCUGACCACACUUCACUACAAAUCAAUUUUCUCAUUAUACAGAAUUUGAAUUAUGUUAUCAUUUAUUUCAUUUGAAACUAGACUCAUUAAGGAGUCUAAGUAUAUAAAUUUUAUCUUAUAAUCAUCAUUGUACAAUUUACAAUGAUUUUCUAAAUAUAGAACAGGGAAUUUCAAGGUCAUUUUGACUCUAUCUUACGCCACUUCAAAUAUCUCAUUAUCUACAAUUAUUUUGCUUACAAGGUUUCUUUUAUAAGAAACUAGACUCAUUAAGCUUUAAUUACAUAAUUUAUUCACCUUCUAAUUCAAUUUCCACAAUUUAUGGUGAUUUUCCAAAAUCACGCUACUGUUGCUGUCCCAAGCAGAUUUAUUACAAUUUGCUCUUUCACACAUUCCUUGGAUUCAAAUUAUCUAAACAUGUAUAUCAUGUCAUUCAAGAUCGAACUCAAAUAACAUAGGCAUUAAAAUGCUUCACUAACAGCUUUAGUUUCAUUGAAACGAAUAAAAUACAAAAUCAUAUUCACAUUUAAUUUUCCACGAUCGUAAUCACCUAAAAAUAAAUCAUAUACUUCCACAAAUCUUUCCAUAAGGACCAAGUGUUUAUAUUUGAAUAUAAACAUAGAAUCACUUCACAUAACUUCACACAUUUACCAAAUAUAUCACGAUCACAUAUAUAGUCAUAACACUUAUUCACAGAUGCAUCACUUUAUAUACUUAUAAUUUAAUUCAAAUCAAAUCACAUACGAGUACAUGAUACGUACCUGGCCAACUUAAUAUGUAAUGCACUUUCAAUUUGUCAACUUAGUGUAGGAUCUUGUAAUUGUAUACUUUUAUCAAAUUCAUCGGCACUUGGCCUGCUAGGUAUAAAACCCGAAAUUAUGUUACCAGCACAAAGCCUGCGGGACUUUAGCCCGGAUACAUUUCCAGCACGAAGCCUGCGGGACUUUAGCCCGGAUACAUUUCCAGCACGAAGCCUGCGGGUCUUUAGCCCGGAUACAUUUCCAGUGCCUUUCUUAUUUAUUCACAUGUUAACACAUUUCACAUAACAUAUCACAUUAGCAAUUCAAUUGCUUCAUUCGAAUAUAAGCACAAAAUGUACACCUACCCUUUAACUUUCUGUUCAAUAAUCAUACACAAGGAACACAAAUGUCGGAAUCCUGUGUCAUGACAUAUGUAUCCUAACUAUUCCUAAGAUUCAUACAGGGCUUUCGAACGUCGUAACUCGGCCGAAUCGAAAGCUCGAACAUAGUUUUCAAACUCAUACACAUUCAGCAUUUACAAGUAUAAAUUCAUAUAUUAUAUACCAGCAUAUAUACUUAACAUUUAACUACAUUUAGGCUUGUGUAUUUGCUUAUAAACUUACCUCAGACGUCGUAAAACGGGACGGAGCUGCUAGUCGACAACUUUCAUUUUUCCCUAGUCCAAAUCCGAUUUCUUUGGUUCUUGAUCUUGGAUUUGAGCUUGGGAGUUGGCCGAACCUAAGCUUCCCUUAUUUCUUUUUCUUUUCUUUU
Molecule: long non-coding RNA, 2048 nt
Filed under: Gossypium barbadense (sea-island cotton)
Lineage: Eukaryota; Viridiplantae; Streptophyta; Magnoliopsida; Malvales; Malvaceae
Description: long non-coding RNA (GBAR_LNC023596)
Source: RNAcentral